AACGAACGCUGGCGGCAUGCCUAACACAUGCAAGUCGAACGAACCCUUCGGGUUAGUGGCGCACGGGUGCGUAACGCGUGGGAAUCUGCCCUUUGCUUCGAAUAACAGUUAGAAAUGACUGCUAAUACCGGAUAAUGUCUUCGGACCAAAGAUUUAUCGGCAAAGGAUGAGCCCCGCGUAGGAUUAGCUAGUUGGUGGGGUAAAAAGCUCACCAAGGCGACGAUCCUUAGCUGGUCUGAGAGGAUGAUCAGCCACACUGGGACUGAGACACGGCCCAGACUCCUACGGGAGGCAGCAGUGGGGAAUAUUGGACAAUGGGCGAAAGCCUGAUCCAGCAAUGCCGCGUGAGUGAUGAAGGCCUUAGGGUUGUAAAGCUCUUUUACCAGGGAUGAUAAUGACAGUACCUGGAGAAUAAGCUCCGGCUAACUCCGUGCCAGCAGCCGCGGUAAU
This 450-nucleotide ribosomal RNA is filed under the name uncultured bacterium. RNAcentral describes it as "bacterial SSU rRNA". It matches the Rfam family "Bacterial small subunit ribosomal RNA", at positions 29 to 524 of the family's 1533-position model. The record is from RNAcentral.